This 21-nucleotide non-coding RNA is filed under the name Caenorhabditis elegans. Lineage: Eukaryota; Metazoa; Nematoda; Chromadorea; Rhabditida; Rhabditidae. The record is from RNAcentral.
UUUUUUUUUUAUCAGCAAAAC